RNAcentral lists this ribosomal RNA (480 nucleotides) under uncultured bacterium. RNAcentral's name for it is "bacterial SSU rRNA". It matches the Rfam family "Bacterial small subunit ribosomal RNA", at positions 241 to 716 of the family's 1533-position model. The record is from RNAcentral.
UUAGCUAGUUGGUGAGGUGACGGCUCACCAAGGCGAAGAUGGGUAGCAGGUGUGAGAGCACGACCUGCGUCACUGGGACUGAGACACUGCCCAGACACCUACGGGUGGCUGCAGUCGAGAAUCUUCGGCAAUGGGCGAAAGCCUGACCGAGCGACGCCGCGUGCGGGAUGAAGGCCUUCGGGUUGUAAACCGCUGUCGGAGGGGAUGAAAUGCCGAUGGGUACUCCCAACGGCUUGACUGAUCCUCGGAGGAAGGGUGGGCUAAGUUCGUGCCAGCAGCCGCGGUAAGACGUACCACCCAAACGUUAUUCGGAAUCACUGGGCUUAAAGAGUCCGUAGGCGGCUCGGUAAGUUGGAUGUGAAAUACCUCGGCUCAACCGAGGAACUGCAUUCAAAACUACCGAGCUUGAGAGAGACAGAGGUAAGCGGAACUGAUGGUGGAGCGGUGAAAUGCGUUGAUAUCAUCAGGAACACCGGUGGC